UCCUGGUUAACCCAGGCAGUCUCAUUAGAGUUCCCACCUUAAAUGUUGGCAACUAAUGAUAAGGGUUGCGCUCGUUGCGGGACUUAACCCAACACCUCACGGCACGAGCUGACGACAGCCAUGCAGCACCUGUGCAGCGGCCCCGAAGGGAAAUACCAUCUCUGGUAUCGUCCACUGCAUGUCAAGACUGGGUAAGGUUCUUCGCGUUGCAUCGAAUUAAACCACAUGCUCCACUGCUUGUGCGGGUCCCCGUCAAUUCUUUUGAGUUUCACCCUUGCGAGCGUACUCCCCAGGCGGUAUACUUAUCGCGUUAGCUACGGCACAACCAGGGUUGAGUCCGGUUACACCAAGUAUACAUAGUUUACGGCAAGGACUAC
This 377-nucleotide unclassified non-coding RNA is filed under the name uncultured Parachlamydiaceae bacterium. RNAcentral's name for it is "contains 16S-23S intergenic spacer region". Lineage: Bacteria; Pseudomonadati; Chlamydiota; Chlamydiia; Parachlamydiales; Parachlamydiaceae. The record is from RNAcentral.